This 513-nucleotide long non-coding RNA is filed under the name Parus major (Great Tit). RNAcentral's name for it is "lncRNA (ENSPMJG00000013892.1)". The record is from RNAcentral. Lineage: Eukaryota; Metazoa; Chordata; Aves; Passeriformes; Paridae.
AUCAGCUUCACUACGCACCAGCUUUGAGCAUACUCCAGUAGCUUGGAAAAAGCACAGCUACUUGGGAAAAUGCAGGGCUGCCUUCUAAAGAAAGAGAGGAUGGGAAGGGACUGCUAAACAUGAAGAAACUUCCUGCAAAGCCACCAGACUGGAAAAAGAGCCCCUGGGGAAAGUCUGUCUUUCCUCAUGGUAAGGAUGAUCUUCAAGGAAGUCCUUCGGACUCUGGGCUUCAUCAGACAAUGCAGACCAAAACAAGUGUCAGAGCUGGAAGAGAGAAGGAAAGUCAGUGUUCUUAAUGGUCCCCAGAAUUACAAGGCUGCUCAGUUACAUCUCUUGGACUGACACCAAAGACAGAUGAGGUGAAGGGAUCCAAAAGAAUGAUUCUGUGCAUCCGAGUGUUCUAAAUUUCUUCCCCUGUUUUCUCAGAGUGACAACAUGAAACUUUCUGCCUUGGCCUGCCUUAAAUAAGAACAUUGCCACUCAUCUUUUAUGAAUUAUUUUUAAUGAAUGCCA